CGGAUUGGAGUCUGCAACCCGACUCCAUGAAGCUGGAUUCGCUAGUAAUCGCGCAUCAGCCACGGCGCGGUGAAUACGUUCCCGGGCCUUGUACACACCGCCCGUCAAGCCAUGGAAGCCGGGAGUGCCUGAAGUGCGUGAGCGCAAGCAGCGCCCUAAGGUAAAACCGGUGACUGGGGCUAAGUCGUAACAAGGUAGC
RNAcentral lists this ribosomal RNA (199 nucleotides) under uncultured bacterium. RNAcentral's name for it is "partial 16S ribosomal RNA". It matches the Rfam family "Bacterial small subunit ribosomal RNA", at positions 1294 to 1500 of the family's 1533-position model. The record is from RNAcentral.